UGGUUCAGAAAUGCAUUUGUUUGAGACUG
RNAcentral lists this non-coding RNA (29 nucleotides) under Mus musculus (house mouse). Lineage: Eukaryota; Metazoa; Chordata; Mammalia; Rodentia; Muridae. The record is from RNAcentral.